ACUAAUAACACCAACUCAUAUAUGUUAAAUAUUUAUUACUCUGUCAUUUCAAAGUAAUUAUUAAAUAUAUAGAGUGUGUAUUAAAACCAGUUCAAGAUUAAAGCAAUAUAUAACGUAUCAUGUUAGUAUUUUAAAUUUUUUUCUCUUCCUAUGCUAUGAUUUCUUUAAGAUUCUAGAUCUACAGAGCAAGCUUUUAUGCAGAACCAUGAUAAGUGUCAUGGGGAUGACAUCCUUGCUGGAACACUGACUCCUCCAGGAAGUAGAGCUCAGCUAAGCAAGAGGCACUGGACAACUCCCACAGUCUUUUUGAUAGCAUUCUUGACUUCUUGGUUCCUAAGGCAGUAGAUGAAGGGAUUUAACAUGGGUGCGAGGACUGCAUACACAGCUGAGAUUAGUUUGUUGGAAUUAAAUGAUGCAAUAGCUCUGGGCCGAACAUACAUGAAAAUCAUGGCUGUGUAAUAAAUUAUGACUACAGUGAGGUGGGAUGCACAGGUGGAGAAGGCUUUCUUCCUCCCUUGGCUGGAGGGUAUAUGCAGAAUAGUGGAGACAAUGUAGACAUAGGAAAAGACAGUGGUGGUAAGAGGGAAGACAAGAAUGACAAUAGCUAAGGCAAAGUCCACUAACUCAGCUGUGGACAUGUCUUUGCAGGCCAGUUUAAGGAUUGGUGAGAUGUCACAGAAAAAGUGGUUCAUGACAUUGGAACCACAAAAGGUGACAUUUGAAAUGAAAUAGACCUUGAUCAUGGUGAUCAUGAAACCAGUCAUAUAGGAGAAAGCCACCAGCUGCACACAAUAACCUGUGGUCAUGAUGACUGAAUAUUGGAGAGGGUGGCAGAUAGCCACAUAACGGUCAUAGGCCAUGGCUGCCAGAAGCACACACUCUGUGCAGGCUAGUGAGAUAAAGAAGUAGAGCUGGGUCAUGCAACCUGUGAAGGAAAUGUGCCGUCUACGCAGGAGAAAUCCAUCUAGCAUCUUGGGGACUGUGACGGAGACAUACCAGACCUCCAGGAAGGACAAGCUACUCAGGAAAUAGUACAUGGGCUUAUGGAGGGAGCCAGUGACCCAAACAGUGAGCAUGAUGACAAGAUUCUCCACUACCACCAGCAGAUAGACCACAAGGAAGAGGAAGAAGAGCAGGACUUGAAGCCAUGGGGCAGUGGGGAAGCCCACCAGGAUGAACUCGCUGACCAGAGUGAUGUUUUCCUCCAGCAUGACUAAGAGCCCUGAGAGGAAUGAUGCGUGCUGCCAUUUUCCCAAGUCCCUCCUCAUCUUUCUUGAGCUUCUUUCAAGGAUCAACCAAUCUCUCUUGGUAACUCCAACUACUCACCAUGAUCCAUUUGCUUUCUCCUGAGAAUGGAAAAUCCUUCAUACGUUUGUACGCAUCAUGGGAAGCAAAUUGAUAUGCAGAUUUUUAUACUUCCUGGAGAUCCAAGUCUGGUCUCUUCUUAGACUGUGUGGUAGGUAUUGCAGGACUAAGACAAGAAGACUUGAGCCAGGGAAGAUGAGUAUAUUUAACACUCACCUGUUUUGCCCAUGUCUUUUUCCCAGGAGGCUCAUUUAUACCUGGUCUGUCCUGGCUCUAGGGAAAUGCUCUGUGCACUGACAAACUAUGUCCAGCUGACAAGGAAGAUGUAUCUUCAUCCUCUUAUCAAUUCCUUUUUAUACCUGGAUCAUGUUUAUCUAUACUUGUGGGUAUGAUAUGGUCAUAUCCCUUUACUCCUGUAUAUAAGUUGAAGGAACAUCAAAUUUACUCAGAAAUCAGGAUAAGAAAUCUAAGUGGGUUAAUAAGGUAAUAGAGAUGUUAAUUUGUUUAUUCUUUAUAGAAAAUGUUUUCUGCAUUUAUUGAGCUCUUAUUAUGUACAGGGCCCUGUGCUAUACAUCAUUUGGAAUAAACAUUUUUAGAUCAUGGUCUCUACCCUCUGGGAAUCUAUAGUUUUGUAAGUAAAAUAAGAAGUAUAUGCUAUAAUGAGGGUAUAAUGUGACACGACCUAUACAAGAUGCAGAAACAAAGUGCUCUAGGAACUCCAAAGUGGGGGAAAUGUUUUCUGACUGAGC
RNAcentral lists this long non-coding RNA (2054 nucleotides) under Equus caballus (horse). RNAcentral describes it as "olfactory receptor family 6 subfamily B member 6 (ENSECAG00000001567.3)". The record is from RNAcentral. Lineage: Eukaryota; Metazoa; Chordata; Mammalia; Perissodactyla; Equidae.